RNAcentral lists this ribosomal RNA (253 nucleotides) under uncultured bacterium. RNAcentral's name for it is "partial 16S ribosomal RNA". It matches the Rfam family "Bacterial small subunit ribosomal RNA", at positions 524 to 776 of the family's 1533-position model. The record is from RNAcentral.
UACGGAGGGUGCAAGCGUUGUUCGGAAUUACUGGGCGUAAAGCGCGUGUAGGCGGCUGGCUAAGUCUGGUGUGAAAUCCCGGGGCUCACCCCCGGAAGUGCGCUGGAAACUGGUCAGCUAGAGUAUGGGAGAGGGAAGCGGAAUUCCUGGUGUAGCGGUGAAAUGCGUAGAUAUCAGGAGGAACACCGGCGGCGAAGGCGGCUUCCUGGACCAAUACUGACGCUGAGACGCGAAAGCGUGGGGAGCAAACAGG